RNAcentral lists this ribosomal RNA (465 nucleotides) under uncultured bacterium. RNAcentral's name for it is "bacterial SSU rRNA". It matches the Rfam family "Bacterial small subunit ribosomal RNA", at positions 338 to 795 of the family's 1533-position model. The record is from RNAcentral.
CCUACGGGGGGCAGCAGUGGGGAAUAUUGGACAAUGGGCGCAAGCCUGAUCCAGCCAUGCCGCGUGGGUGAAGAAGGCCUUCGGGUUGUAAAGCCCUUUUGUUGGGAAAGAAAAGCAAUCGGUUAAUACCCGGUUGUUCUGACGGUACCCAAAGAAUAAGCACCGGCUAACUUCGUGCCAGCAGCCGCGGUAAUACGAAGGGUGCAAGCGUUACUCGGAAUUACUGGGCGUAAAGCGUGCGUAGGUGGUGAUUUAAGUCCGUUGUGAAAGCCCUGGGCUCAACCUGGGAAUUGCAGUGGAUACUGGGUCACUAGAAUGUGGUAGAGGGUAGCGGAAUUCCUGGUGUAGCAGUGAAAUGCGUAGAGAUCAGGAGGAACAUCCGUGGCGAAGGCGGCUACCUGGACCAACAUUGACACUGAGGCACGAAAGCGUGGGGAGCAAACAGGAUUAGAUACCCGAGUAGUC